RNAcentral lists this microRNA precursor (207 nucleotides) under Oryza rufipogon (brownbeard rice). Its description in RNAcentral is "MIR812 microRNA precursor family". It matches the Rfam family "MIR812 microRNA precursor family". The record is from Rfam by way of RNAcentral. Lineage: Eukaryota; Viridiplantae; Streptophyta; Magnoliopsida; Poales; Poaceae.
AAAAAAGACAGACCCUGGUUCCAGUGUCCAACGUUUGACCGUCCGUCUUAUUUAAAAAAAUUAUGAAAAAAAAUUAAAAAGAUAAGUCACGCAUAAAGUAUUAAUCAUGUUUUAUCAUCUAACAACAAUAAAAAUACUAAUUAUAAAAAAAUUUCAUAUAAGACGGGCGGUCAAAUGUUGGCACGGAAAUCUAGGGUUUGUCUUUUU